Molecule: ribosomal RNA, 403 nt
Filed under: Verrucomicrobiota bacterium
Lineage: Bacteria; Pseudomonadati; Verrucomicrobiota
Description: Verrucomicrobia bacterium partial 16S ribosomal RNA
Rfam family: Bacterial small subunit ribosomal RNA
Source: RNAcentral
UGGGGAAUAUUGCACAAUGGGGGAAACCCUGAUGCAGCGACGCCGCGUGAGCGAUGAAGGCUUUCGAGUCGUAAAGCUCUGUCCUAUGGGAAGAUAAUGACGGUACCAUAGAAGAAAGCCCCGGCUAAUUACGUGCCAGCAGCCGCGGUAAUACGUAAGGGGCGAGCGUUGUCCGGAAUUAUUGGGCGUAAAGGGUACGUAGGCGGUCUAUUAAGUCAGGUGUGAAAGCGUGAGGCUUAACCUCAUUAAGCACUUGAAACUGAUAGACUUGAGUGAAGGAGAGGAAAGUGGAAUUCCUAGUGUAGCGGUGAAAUGCGUAGAUAUUAGGAGUAAUACAUGUGGCGAACGCGACUUUCUGGACUUUUACUGUCGCUCAGGUACGAAAGCGUGGGGAGCAAACAGG